RNAcentral lists this ribosomal RNA (498 nucleotides) under uncultured bacterium. Its description in RNAcentral is "partial 16S ribosomal RNA". It matches the Rfam family "Bacterial small subunit ribosomal RNA", at positions 30 to 523 of the family's 1533-position model. The record is from RNAcentral.
AUUGAACGCUGGCGGCAUGCCUUACACAUGCAAGUCGAACGGUAACAGGUCUUCGGAUGCUGACGAGUGGCGAACGGGUGAGUAAUACAUCGGAACGUGCCUAGUAGUGGGGGAUAACUACUCGAAAGAGUGGCUAAUACCGCAUGAGCUCUACGGAUGAAAGCAGGGGAUCGAAAGACCCUGUGGUACGAGAGAGGCCGAUGGCAGACUAGGUAGUUGGUGGGAUAAAAGCUUACCAAGCCGACGAUCUGUAGCUGGUCUGAGAGGACGAUCAGCCACACUGGGACUGAGACACGGCCCAGACUCCUACGGGAGGCAGCAGUGGGGAAUUUUGGUCAAUGGGCGCAAGCCUGAUCCAGCAAUGCCGCAUGCAGGAUGAAAGCCUUCGGGUUGUAAACUGCUUUUGUACGGAACGAAAAGCCCCGGGUUAAUACCCUGGGGUCAUGACGGUACCGUAAGAAUAAGCACCGGCUAACUACGUGCCAGCCGCCGCAGUAA